CCAAUAGCGUAUAUUAAAGUUGUUGCAGUUAAAAAGCUCGUAGUUGAAUUUUGGAUUCUGCCAGUUGGUCCAUCUUUUGAUGAGUACUGAUUGUGUGGGGUCUAUCCGCCUGGUGAUACGUAAUGUACUUUAUUGUAUGUUACGGGUAGUCAGGACCUUUACCUUGAAAAAAUUAGAGUGUUUAAAGCAGGCUUAUGCCGGAAUACAUUAGCAUGGAAUAAUAGAAUAGGACGAUGUUGUUUUAUUUUGUUGGUUUCUAGGACAACCGUAAUGAUUAAUAGGGAUAGUUGGGGGCAUUAGUAUUCAAUUGUCAGAGGUGAAAUUCUUGGAUUUAUUGAAGACUAACUACUGCGAAAGCAUUUGCCAAGGAUGUUUUCAUUAAUCAAGAACGAAAGUUAGGGGAUCGAAGACGAUCAGAUACCGUCGUAGUCUUAACCAUAAACUAUGCCGACUAGGGAUCGGGCGAUGUUGUUUCCAUGACUCGCUCGGCACCUUAUG
RNAcentral lists this ribosomal RNA (498 nucleotides) under uncultured Archaeospora. RNAcentral describes it as "SSU rRNA". It matches the Rfam family "Eukaryotic small subunit ribosomal RNA", at positions 591 to 1092 of the family's 1831-position model. The record is from RNAcentral. Lineage: Eukaryota; Fungi; Glomeromycota; Glomeromycetes; Archaeosporales; Archaeosporaceae. RNAcentral also lists the same sequence under 1 other name.